Molecule: non-coding RNA, 744 nt
Organism: Chlorocebus sabaeus (green monkey)
Lineage: Eukaryota; Metazoa; Chordata; Mammalia; Primates; Cercopithecidae
Source: the annotation of a RefSeq genome assembly
AGAUGCAUUUAGCUCUGUGCAGUUCAACUGUUGUGAUGUGUCUCUGAUUGGUUGCCCCCAAAGUUACAAUAUCCUGGAAACAAUUACAACAGACCUUAUUCUGAGUUCAAAGCAACUCCUACUAAGGAAGCCCAUUCAGAAGCUGACUGGACAUUCUGGCAGGCCGAGGAUGGAGACUCUCCUGAAAGUGCUUUCAAGCAUCUUGUUGUGCCCGUUGACCUGGGUGAGAAGCCAACAACCAGUGCAGAGUCCUCAAGCCGUGAUCCUCCAAGAAGGGGAAGAUGCUAUCAUCAACUGCAAUUCCUCAAAGGCUUUAUAUUCUGUACACUGGUACAGGCAGAAGCAUGGUGAAGCGCCCGUCUUCCUGAUGAUAUUACUGAAAGGUGGAGAACAGAAGAGUCAUGACAAAAUAGUCGCUACAUUUAAUGAAAAAAAGCAGCAAAGCUCCCUGUACCUUAUGGCUUCCCAGCUCAGUUACUCCGGAACCUACUUCUGUGGCGCAGAGACACAGUAAUACCCAGGCCUCCAAGACCUGUACUCUAACCUAAAGCUGAGCCACAGGUGCUCACCUAGCACAGACGCUCACCACAGGAGUAUGGGGAACUUACCAGAAGGCUCAUCCGUGCUAAAAGACAAACCUAAAGGAAAUUCAGUUGCUUCAAUAUAUAACACAAAAAGCAAGUAAUGGCCUUGAGAUCAUAUCUAAUUUGGCAUUGUUUUCUUGAUAAUUAUUUAAUUGCUCGG